AUAUCAGCAAAAAGUUGCAGCACUUUGCACUUGUUGAAAACAUGGCCCAAAGUCCUUCAGAAGUUCUCACCAAAGCAUUGGCACGGUCUCCACAAAUCCCUUGAAAUGGAAGAAGUCUGUGACUCUUUUCACAGGACUCAUUGACCAGAGGCCCUAACCAGCAGGGGAGCUGGCACAGAAAAUUGAGGGGAAAGAGUAUGCCAGGACCACCCAAAAAGCAAUUGAACCUACUACUUCGUCAUGGAGCAUGGAGAUAUGUGUCCUGGGUAUUUCCAUAUGCAGCCUCAAACAACUUUCCCCAGCAUUGGCAGUUGCUGUGUUGGAGUGGAAGAGAAAGCAGGCGCUUUCUGCAGAAAGCUGGCUGGCUUUGGGUGUGAAGGCCAGGGAAAUGAAAUGGUUUAGUCACCGAACUCUGGAGCACGUUGCGUUCAUACCAUUUAUGGCAGG
RNAcentral lists this long non-coding RNA (447 nucleotides) under Apteryx rowi (Okarito brown kiwi). RNAcentral's name for it is "lncRNA (ENSARWG00000013899.1)". The record is from RNAcentral. Lineage: Eukaryota; Metazoa; Chordata; Aves; Apterygiformes; Apterygidae.